AUUGAACGCUGGCAGCAGGCCUAACACAUGCAAGUCGAACGGUAACAGGAAGCAGCUUGCUGCUUUGCUGACGAGUGGCGGACGGGUGAGUAAUGUCUGGGAAACUGCCUGAUGGAGGGGGAUAACUACUGGAAACGGUAGCUAAUACCGCAUAACGUCGCAAGACCAAAGAGGGGGACCUUCGGGCCUCUUGCCAUCGGAUGUGCCCAGAUGGGAUUAGCUAGUAGGUGGGGUAACGGCUCACCUAGGCGACGAUCCCUAGCUGGUCUGAGAGGAUGACCAGCCACACUGGAACUGAGACACGGUCCAGACUCCUACGGGAGGCAGCAGUGGGGAAUAUUGCACAAUGGGCGCAAGCCUGAUGCAGCCAUGCCGCGUGUAUGAAGAAGGCCUUCGGGUUGUAAAGUACUUUCAGCGGGGAGGAAGGGAGUAAAGUUAAUACCUUUGCUCAUUGACGUUACCCGCAGAAGAAGCACCGGCUAACUCCGUG
This 490-nucleotide ribosomal RNA is filed under the name uncultured bacterium. Its description in RNAcentral is "partial 16S ribosomal RNA". It matches the Rfam family "Bacterial small subunit ribosomal RNA", at positions 30 to 507 of the family's 1533-position model. The record is from RNAcentral.